UUGAGAUAAACGCUUCGAGAUGACUAUACAAUUCAAACUUUUGUAGAGUCUUAAGUCUUUAGUCUUUACGUUGAAUUGUCAUGGCCAUGGUGUAUCGAGAAGAAAUAACAUUUAUUUAUAGGAAGGCAAAUUAGAUUUACUGUUACUCCUGAGGAAAAAUUCGACGUAGAAGUCAUCGUAAAAUAAUGUGAGAUGGGUGUAUGAUUAUGAAUCUAGACGACAAACCAUGCUUCCUGACAGAAUUUGGGAGGUUUACCAUCUCAUUAUCUGUUGUUUGAAUUGCAUUCAACACGAGUAAAAUGUGGCAUACUUUGACAAAGGUAGGUGUCCUCAGGAAGAAUGUCUUGGAACUAUAAAAAUAUUAUGUUGUCAUAAUCUUCUCCAUGCCUUAACUUUUGGUAAAAUAGGUGCCUUUUGUACAUUUACUAGCAAUACUUCUACUUCAUAAACGAAUGCCAUUUUAUGGCAGAAAAGUUUGAGUUUCACAACUCUUAUGGCACUAAUGAAUCCACUGCAAGGUUUGGGUGAUUUAAGUGAUGCAUAAAAGCUACAAGAAACUCUUGGAGAUUUUGCAAGUUCCAUGCAAGUAUACUGUAGUUGACCAACUAGAUAUCUUAUUGGUAAAACAAUGGACAAGGUGUGAAAAAACCCGAUUUUGCUAAACUUGGUGCUAUGAUGUUGCCAAAUAUGUGGUACUGUAAUGACAGCAAUUGACCUGUGGAAGGAACCAAAUUGAGGUACCAGAUUUUCGCUUCUCUUGUGAUAGUUCACUUGACAAUGUCCAAAGUACGGGUCCGGUUUAAAAAUGUUUCAAAUAGUGGCCACCAGCUGGUGCAGAUAACCUGGUCUUAUCUCUUCUUUGUUGACUUUUGUACUUUAUCAUGUAUUCGUGUCCUGCUCCUUAUAAUUUUUGCGUAAUAUGUUAAGUCUGACCUGUCUCCGUUUUUAUUGUAUGUAAUGUUAUGUAUUGUAAGUAAUGUCUUGCCUUAUGUAUUUUGUCACUCGUUUGCUUAGGAUAUGCUUUCGACUCAGACGUAGUUAAUUACACAUUCGGGUUUUGUUUUGUUUUUCCAACCGGGAACAACACCAAAAAACACUUAAAAAUCGUCCAGCGCUUGUUAUUGGUUUAGUGUUUGCUAAAACAAGACUGUCAACAACUCAGUUUUAAAUGAGGUGAAUAUAAAAUUUUCAGUUCAAAAAGUGUUCAAAAGAAAAUAUUGACCGAUGGAAAUUGGGGAAGUCGAAAAGUACACACUGAGUCUGAGAACUUAAAUUAAAUCUAGGCCUUUAUAAAAAACAAUUGGCUUGUCGGUGAUGAAUAUAUAUUAUUAUCUAAAGAACUGCAAUUGCUAAAUUUUGUUAAUAAGAGUAAAAAACACAUCAAAAUUUUACGCUCGAUGACAUCAAAGUGUUAACUGCCUCACAAACACGUAGCUACGUGCGUUUUCCUAUACUUUUUCCUUCCUUUUCUUUUCACAUGCACUUUUCCCCUUUCAUUGUUGUCCCACUCCUUAACUAGGGAUUCUUCCAAUUUGAAUUGUCAGUUGCUUUAUCAGAAUAGACAUUUGAUGAAUCUUUUACCGAUUUCGCUUUUACCAUUGCAGCUAUUUUGUCUUUAAUCGAGUUCCUUAUUUUCCAUCAAAUGUUAACGACAAUCGUCCACUGUACUGAGGUCAUUCGAAAAUACUGUCUGCACUUUUAAAGCGCUUUGCAUCGCCGGCAGGCGAUUUCCAGUUGCCUUGUACGCGAAGCGAUUGCCGUACAACAUCUUCAACAUUUGAAGUGUUUUGUUCAACGACCUUUUCUGCAUGUUAAGCCUAUUCAGGUUGAGCGUUUAACGGAAGUGUUAAUCACGCUCGUUGUGCACGGCGUUGCAAUGUGACGUUUCUAUGGACGUAAAUUGACGUUUCUAAGCCGACUGGUUGCAUAGUUUAUCCAGGAGCAAUUUUUUAAAAGCUCUUGAUAAACACUUUUAUUAAAAUGUGAAGUGUUAUUAAAAAAGGACGCUUGUAUCAGCCAGGAAAAGCAUUAUCAUUACACUUGAGGUCAAGUAUUGCAGAUAAAUACAAUAAUAAGGGGCGGAAAUACAUAACAGAAAUAUAGAAAUAACCGAAAUAUAGUUUUCAAAAACAGUGCAUCAUUGUGCAUUGUGUGAAGUGUUAUCGUUUCCGUGUGUUAAUCACGUGCAAAAACUCGUUACUAUUCGUGGGUAUAAAUAAUUAGUUCCCGCGUAUAUUACAUAUUUCUCCCCUUUUUUGUUCCCCCCCCUGGUUUUCGUUGUAAGGCUAACAUAAUUUAUAACUAAACGAAGAUUCAUAGCCAUAAGUUUCUCCGUUCUUUUGCUGCCUCUCUUUUGAUAAAGUAUAUACGAGUAAGCUGAAAUAUAGCAACAGAGUGAUUAUCAACUCCGAACAUAUCUUCGAAGAUAUUUUAAACUUUUAAUAUGGGCAAUCAUAAAAAAAAUUUAAUACUUACUUGCCUAUUUCGUAAUUAAAAGAAGGAACUGUAGUUUGUAGAAAAGGCGUACUUUGUUCGUGCUCUAUCCCUUCAAC
RNAcentral lists this long non-coding RNA (2552 nucleotides) under Dendronephthya gigantea. RNAcentral describes it as "uncharacterized LOC114535574, transcript variant X1". The record is from RNAcentral. Lineage: Eukaryota; Metazoa; Cnidaria; Anthozoa; Malacalcyonacea; Nephtheidae.